GCUGAGUUCUUAUACUCCUCUGCGUUUGUCCUGCUUCAGGAAGUAGAUGUACUUUAUCUCAAAUAUUGCAGACAACCUACAGAUGUGACCAGUCCCUGAGACCAGCAGUGCAACCCCAGGUCUAUGUAUUCUUCCUUGAUUCUAUGCUGGAGAAAUGCAGCAGAAUCAGACAGUUGUCACCAAUUUUGAACACUGAAGUCAGGAAAGCUUUGAUGCGUGGUGCAAAAGUCAGAUGCAGAAAUGAGGCUCAUCUUUUGGGGUAUUUUUUCAUCAUUUGUUUACUGCUGCUGUUCUAAUCACUGCCUCUCACUGAUUUGAGCAACAGUCACACUCAGGCAAGAAAUAAGUGAACUCACAACAGCUCGUUUCACUUCUAUGAAUUGUUGCUGCUAUCCAGCAUGUGAAAUGGGUGCCACAACCGCAGCCUGUGGCGCUGCCCGGCUCCCGCUCCCUCAGCUGCCUGGGUUGGGUUUCAGCAGCUCUUAUGUCUUUGGACCACCUGCUUUGUGCUGGGACUUUGCCAUCAGGCUCUCAGGGUGGGAAGGAGGUGCUGAGAAGGGUAUGCAGGAAAAAACAAAACAACUAAAACAAGGCAAGAUCACUUCUCCAAAACUUUCUAGACAGGAGUUUCCUCUGUUUGAGGAAAGAAAACCAGAUAGCAUUAUCAAACACUUCAGCAGUGAGAGAGAACAAAUUCAGCUGAGAGUCAGAAAGCAAUAAAACCCUAUAAAACUAAAGCCCCAAGUGGUAACCAUGGCAGCACUGCUGGCAAGAUGCAACUGACACAAAGGAAGAACGUUUUCUGCAUUUUUCCCAAAAAGCAGCAGUUGAAAGGCUCUCAGUCAGCACCUGAACUCUGGCUCUCACUCCCACCUGGCUGCUGCAGAGCUGCACCUUCCAGGCACCCCUAACCCAGAGGGGUUGUGCCUGGGGUGCAGAAACAGGCAGACCAGGUCUUUGAGUUAUGGAUUUAGCAAUAAAUGAUAAUGAUUUUUGCCUUUGUGUAAGCUAAAGUAGAGGGAAAGAAGAAAGCAAAACAAAACCCUUGCCUCAUUUCCUGUUGUGUUUUGAGGUUUCUUACCAACACUGAAAACCACAGUUCAUUACGGGAAGUUUUAGUGGUCUGUGUCUGUCAGUGUUUUAAAUCGGUAUUUGGCAUCAGCAAAUGAGACACUUUUCCCUUGAAGUAGGAGGGGAAUUUCACCCUUUUGUGUGUUUUGUUUGAGAAACUGUAUAUUCACAUUUCUUGUCAAGUUUCUCCUUUAUAAGCAUUGCAAGAAAUCUGUAUAAACAAAACCAGAAAAGACUUUUUCCUGCAAGUUCUAU
This is a long non-coding RNA of Gallus gallus (chicken), 1326 nucleotides long. NCBI's taxonomy places the organism in Eukaryota, Metazoa, Chordata, Aves, Galliformes, Phasianidae. The record is from Ensembl.